UAGGUGUAAUAUUUGGUGUCUGACUUGA
Molecule: small RNA, 28 nt
Filed under: Bombyx mori (domestic silkworm)
Lineage: Eukaryota; Metazoa; Arthropoda; Insecta; Lepidoptera; Bombycidae
Description: piRNA piR-bmo-1981858
Source: RNAcentral